RNAcentral lists this long non-coding RNA (693 nucleotides) under Sus scrofa (pig). RNAcentral's name for it is "lncRNA (ENSSSCG00005041038.1)". Lineage: Eukaryota; Metazoa; Chordata; Mammalia; Artiodactyla; Suidae. The record is from RNAcentral.
UUCCUUUUCGCUGCCCAGUUUUCCUGUCCUUGAUGUCCCGGGCCUGGCGUGUCUUGGACGGAAACUCGGCAUCUUCUGUUUACUGCUGGCAUCCACGAAACAGUAACAGGCCCCAGACUCUUCACAGAUCCUGAAACCACUCACCUGCCUAAGACUGACAACGUUGGCACAAUUUCGACCUCCCUGUGCCUUUCUUCCCGGGGAAGGAAGCUGAGAGGGGAUGAAUCAAGUAACAUAAUAAACUUCUGAGAAGGCAGAGCAAUAUGUUUGGGUCUCCAUCUUUCUUUCAAAAAAGAAGCUUCAUAUCAAGACUUGGAAAGAAGUGCAAAUCUCUUAGUGAAGAAACUGCCAAGAAAAUUACUGCUCACCUAGCUCAAAGAGAAACAUUAAUUAAAGGUAAGACAUGGGCAAGAAGUAAAAUGGAGCUUGUAUGAGUUAAUUCUAUCAUAAUUAACAUUUAUAAUUCCUCUCAAUUUCAGAGGAUGACUGUGUUUUUGCAGAAACCCUUGAAUUAUUUAAUGUAUUUCUAAAGAAAACUUUCGAAAUCCCUGGAGAUGAAUUUUUACCUUUCUAUAAAGACUCUUUCCACCCCCAUUCAGAGUCUCCGUACAAGUUUAUAUGAUAGAACUUUGGUCUAAGAAAAUGGGAAUGGAUUUAGGUAAACCUGAGAUUAUUCUACUUAUUUAUAAUGAC